This 76-nucleotide transfer RNA is filed under the name bacterium. Its description in RNAcentral is "tRNA-Ala". It matches the Rfam family "tRNA". Rfam says of the family: Transfer RNA (tRNA) molecules are approximately 80 nucleotides in length. RNAcentral also lists the same sequence under 6 other names. The record is from RNAcentral.
GGGGACGUAGCUCAGCUGGUAGAGCGCCUGCUUUGCAAGCAGGAUGUCAGGGGUUCGAGUCCCCUCGUCUCCACCA